RNAcentral lists this ribosomal RNA (576 nucleotides) under uncultured bacterium. RNAcentral describes it as "bacterial SSU rRNA". It matches the Rfam family "Bacterial small subunit ribosomal RNA", at positions 102 to 674 of the family's 1533-position model. The record is from RNAcentral.
ACGGGUGAGUAAUACAUGGGAACAUGCCCUUAGAUGGGGAAUAACGUUUGGAAACGAACGCUAAUACCGCAUAAUCUCGCGAGAGUAAAGGUGGCGCCGCAAGGGCUACCGUCUAAGGAUUGGCCCAUGUCCCAUUAGCUAGUUGGCGGGGUAAUGGCCCACCAAGGCAACGAUGGGUAUGUGGUCUGAGAGGAUGAUCACACACACUGGAACUGAGACACGGUCCAGACUCCUACGGGAGGCAGCAGUAGGGAAUAUUGCACAAUGGGGGAAACCCUGAUGCAGCAACGCCGCGUGAGUGAAGAAGGCCCUUGGGUUGUAAAGCUCUUUAGCGAGGGAAGAAGGUAGAUAUGGUGAAUAAUCAUGUUUGCUGACGGUACCUCGAGAAUAAGCACCGGCUAAUUUCGUGCCAGCAGCCGCGGUAAUACGAAAGGUGCAAGCGUUACUCGGAAUCACUGGGCGUAAAGCGCACGUAGGCGGACUUACAGGUCAAUUGUGAAAUACCUGGGCUCAACCCGGGAACUGCAGUUGAAACCGUUUGUCUUGAAUACCUGAGAGGGUGGGGGAAUACCUGGU